GACGAACGCUGGCGGCGUGCUUAACACAUGCAAGUCGAACGGAAAGGCCCUGCUUUUGUGGGGUGCUCGAGUGGCGAACGGGUGAGUAACACGUGAGUAACCUGCCCUUGACUUUGGGAUAACUUCAGGAAACUGGGGCUAAUACCGGAUAGGAGCUCCUGCUGCAUGGUGGGGGUUGGAAAGUUUCGGCGGUUGGGGAUGGACUCGCGGCUUAUCAGCUUGUUGGUGGGGUAGUGGCUUACCAAGGCUUUGACGGGUAGCCGGCCUGAGAGGGUGACCGGCCACAUUGGGACUGAGAUACGGCCCAGACUCCUACGGGAGGCAGCAGUGGGGAAUAUUGCACAAUGGGCGGAAGCCUGAUGCAGCAACGCCGCGUGCGGGAUGACGGCCUUCGGGUUGUAAACCGCUUUCGCCUGUGACGAAGCGUGAGUGACGGUAAUGGGUAAAGAAGCACCGGCUAACUACGUGCCAGCAGCCGCGGUGAUACGUAGGGUGCGAGCGUUAUCCGGAAUUAUUGGGCGUAAAGCGCGCGUAGGCGGUUUUUUAAGUCUGAUGUGAAAGCCCACGGCUCAACCGUGGAGGGUCAUUGGAAACUGGAAAACUUGAGUGCAGAAGAGGAAAGUGGAAUUCCAUGUGUAGCGGUGAAAUGCGCAGAGAUAUGGAGGAACACCAGUGGCGAAGGCGACUUUCUGGUCUGUAACUGACGCUGAUGUGCGAAAGCGUGGGGAUCAAACAGGAUUAGAUACCCUGGUAGUCCACGCCGUAAACGAUGAGUGCUAAGUGUUAGGGGGUUUCCGCCCCUUAGUGCUGCAGCUAACGCAUUAAGCACUCCGCCUGGGGAGUACGACCGCAAGGUUGAAACUCAAAGGAAUUGACGGGGACCCGCACAAGCGGUGGAGCAUGUGGUUUAAUUCGAAGCAACGCGAAGAACCUUACCAAAUCUUGACAUCCUUUGACAACUCUAGAGAUAGAGCUUUCCCCUUCGGGGGACAAAGUGACAGGUGGUGCAUGGUUGUCGUCAGCUCGUGUCGUGAGAUGUUGGGUUAAGUCCCGCAACGAGCGCAACCCUUAAGCUUAGUUGCCAUCAUUAAGUUGGGCACUCUAAGUUGACUGCCGGUGACAAACCGGAGGAAGGUGGGGAUGACGUCAAAUCAUCAUGCCCCUUAUGAUUUGGGCUACACACGUGCUACAAUGGACAAUACAAAGGGCAGCGAAACCGUGAGGUCAAGCAAAUCCCAUAAAGUUGUUCUCAGUUCGGAUUGUAGUCUGCAACUCGACUACAUGAAGCUGGAAUCGCUAGUAAUCGUAGAUCAGCAUGCUACGGUGAAUACGUUCCCGGGUCU
This 1343-nucleotide ribosomal RNA is filed under the name uncultured bacterium. RNAcentral describes it as "partial 16S ribosomal RNA". It matches the Rfam family "Bacterial small subunit ribosomal RNA", at positions 28 to 1381 of the family's 1533-position model. The record is from RNAcentral.